CCUACGGGAGGCAGCAGUGAGGAAUAUUGGUCAAUGGUCGGGAGUCUGAACCAGCCAAGCCGCGUGAGGGAUGAAGGUACAGUGUAUCGUAAACCUCUUUUGUCAGGGAACAAAGGCGGGGACGUGUCCCCGGUUGAGUGUACCUGAUGAAAAAGCAUCGGCUAACUCCGUGCCAGCAGCCGCGGUAAUACGGAGGAUGCGAGCGUUAUCCGGAUUUAUUGGGUUUAAAGGGUGCGCAGGGGGUUUGUUAAGUCAGCGGUCAAAGCCUGGGGCUCAACCCCGGCCUGCCGUUGAAUAUGGCAGUCUCGAGGUGGAGAGAAGUAAGUGGAAUGCGCGGUGUAGGGGUGAAAUGCAU
This 355-nucleotide ribosomal RNA is filed under the name uncultured bacterium. RNAcentral describes it as "partial 16S ribosomal RNA". It matches the Rfam family "Bacterial small subunit ribosomal RNA", at positions 338 to 691 of the family's 1533-position model. The record is from RNAcentral.